CCUACGGGUGGCAGCAGUGAGGAAUAUUGGUCAAUGGCCGGAAGGCUGAACCAGCCAUGCCGCGUGAAGGUCAGUGCCCUAUGGGCGUUAAACUUCUUUUGUGCGGGAGCAAUAAUGGUCACGUGUGGCCAGACGAGAGUACCGUACGAAUAAGCAUCGGCUUACUCCGUGCCAGCAGCCGCGGUAAAACGGGGGAUGCAAGCGUUAUACGGAUUUAUUGGGUUUAAAGGGUGCGUAGGCUGGGAGGUAAGUCAGCGGGGUAAUGCCACCGCGCAAAGGGGUGAAGUGCCAUUGAAACUGGCUUGCUUGAAUGCGGGAGCCGUAGGAGGAAUGGGUGGUGUAGCGGUGAAAUGCAUAGAUAUCACACAGAACACCGAUUGCGAAGGCAGCUCACGAAUCCGCAAUUGACGCUGAUGCACGAAAGCGUGGGUAUCAAACAGGAUUAGAUACCCCUGUAGUC
RNAcentral lists this ribosomal RNA (460 nucleotides) under uncultured bacterium. RNAcentral's name for it is "partial 16S ribosomal RNA". It matches the Rfam family "Bacterial small subunit ribosomal RNA", at positions 338 to 795 of the family's 1533-position model. The record is from RNAcentral.